AGUUUUCUGGAGCAUUCGUGAAGCUUAUAUUUUGAACCUACAAAAUUUGAACGGGAUUUCAAAUUGGGAGUGUAUGUCAGGCCUUAAGAUAACCGCAUUGCGGGAAGGGGAAGACAAAAUCUUCUAUGAGAUAACCCACCUAUCGUGAGAUAGGGAUCAAAAUUGGGCAACGGUGCUUUGGAAAAUUC
RNAcentral lists this non-coding RNA (188 nucleotides) under Clostridiales bacterium. Its description in RNAcentral is "6S RNA". It matches the Rfam family "6S / SsrS RNA". From Rfam's summary of the family: E. coli 6S RNA was the first non coding RNA to be sequenced, but its function was unknown until recently. It consists of 184 nucleotides that fold into an extended hairpin structure with a large single-stranded internal bulge. The record is from RNAcentral. Lineage: Bacteria; Bacillati; Bacillota; Clostridia; Eubacteriales.